AAUUAAGAAAUCAUUAGAUGAUGAACUGUAAAUUCAUAUAAGAUUCACAUUUAACUU
RNAcentral lists this transfer RNA (57 nucleotides) under Lycosa sp. RNAcentral describes it as "tRNA-Tyr". Lineage: Eukaryota; Metazoa; Arthropoda; Arachnida; Araneae; Lycosidae. The record is from RNAcentral.